This 376-nucleotide ribosomal RNA is filed under the name uncultured bacterium. Its description in RNAcentral is "bacterial SSU rRNA". It matches the Rfam family "Bacterial small subunit ribosomal RNA", at positions 525 to 896 of the family's 1533-position model. The record is from RNAcentral.
ACAGAGGGGGCAAGCGUUGUCCGGACUGACUGGGCGUAAAGCGCACGCAGGCGGUUGUGGGCGUCGGUGCUGAAAGUCCACUGCUUAACAGUGGAACGCGUGCCGAUACGCCAUAACUGGAGCAAUGCAGAGGCCAGUGGAAUUGCCGGUGUAGUGGUGAAAUGCGUAGAGAUCGGCAGGAACACCCAAGGGGAAGCCAGCUGGCUGGGCAUUUGCUGACGCUCAUGUGCGACAGCGUGGGGAGCGAACUGGAUUAGAUACCCAGGUAGUCCACGCCGUAAACGAUGGAUGCUCGGUGUCUGGUGGGUAAUCAGUCCCGCUGGGCGCCUCAGCUAACGCGCAAGCAUCCCGCCUGGGAACUACGAGCGCAAGCUUA